GAUGAACGCUGGCGGCGUGCCUAAUACAUGCAAGUCGAGCGAACAGACGAGGAGCUUGCUCCUUUGACGUUAGCGGCGGACGGGUGAGUAACACGUGGGUAACCUACCUAUAAGACUGGGAUAACUUCGGGAAACCGGAGCUAAUACCGGAUAAUAUUUCGAACCGCAUGGUUCGAUAGUGAAAGAUGGCUUUGCUAUCACUUAUAGAUGGACCUGCGCCGUAUUAGCUAGUUGGUAAGGUAACGGCUUACCAAGGCAACGAUACGUAGCCGACCUGAGAGGGUGAUCGGCCACACUGGAACUGAGACACGGUCCAGACUCCUACGGGAGGCAGCAGUAGGGAAUCUUCCGCAAUGGGCGAAAGCCUGACGGAGCAACGCCGCGUGAGUGAUGAAGGACUUCGGAUCGUAAAACUCUGUUAUUAGGGAAGAACAAACGUGUAAGUAACUGUGCACGUCUUGACGGUACCUAAUCAGAAAGCCACGGCUAACUACGUG
Molecule: ribosomal RNA, 497 nt
Filed under: uncultured bacterium
Lineage: Bacteria
Description: partial 16S ribosomal RNA
Rfam family: Bacterial small subunit ribosomal RNA
Source: RNAcentral